This 349-nucleotide long non-coding RNA is filed under the name Capsella rubella. RNAcentral's name for it is "long non-coding RNA (CRUB_LNC003270)". The record is from RNAcentral. Lineage: Eukaryota; Viridiplantae; Streptophyta; Magnoliopsida; Brassicales; Brassicaceae.
GCCAUAUCUGAAUUGACUUGUUACGUGGACGCACCCAACAAACACAAACUCCAUACUUUGUUUGAUCCAUACAUGAAACUGAUAAAGUAUAUCUGAUAUUAAUUGGAGUUCGAGAGGGAGAGAGAGCGAUAUGUGAGUAUAUAUGGCGCCGUCAUUGCACGAUGUAACGUAUCUUCUUAAUUUAUUAUGGCAUUUAUUCUUUUUUUUUUUUUAAUUUAGUAAUCUAAUCCAAAAUUGGAACUUCAUCAACACAAUAAGCAUUAGAAGAAAUUUGUUGGUGAUCCAAAAAAAAAAAGAAAUAUUCUUUCAUUUCUUUGUUUUUUUUUUUGGUGGAAUCGUUCAUUUCUUU